GAUGAAGAACGUAGCGAAAUGCGAUACGUAAUGUGAAUUGCAGAAUUCAGUGAAUCAUCGAAUCUUUGAACGCACAUUGCGCCCUGUGGUAUUCCGCAGGGCAUGCCUGUUCGAGCGUCAUUUCAACCCUCAAGCCCCGCUUGGUGUUGGGCCCCGCCCGCCGUGGCCGGCCCUAAAGACAGUGGCGGCGCCGCCUGGCCCUCAGCGUAGUACAGCUCUCGCUCCAGGGUCCGGCGGCCGCCUGCCAGAACCCCCCCAACUCUGUGGUUGACCUCGGAUCAGGUAGGGAUACCCGCUGAACUUAAGCAUAUCAAUAAGCGGAGGA
RNAcentral lists this unclassified non-coding RNA (325 nucleotides) under soil metagenome. RNAcentral's name for it is "partial contains 5.8S ribosomal RNA, internal transcribed spacer 2, and large subunit ribosomal RNA". The stretch from base 1 to 120 matches the Rfam family "5.8S ribosomal RNA", at positions 35 to 154 of the family's 154-position model. The record is from RNAcentral.